GAGAAAUUCACUCAAGAAGGCUUCACCGAUCCGGUUUCACGGCAGCAAUGAAUACUUUAUCGGCGUUUCUUUUUCCGCCGCCGCCAUCACUGUUCGUUAACGUGAUGACGGUGGUGAGCUCGGCGGUGGUAGCGGUGAUAGGGCUUUCGGAAGCGAGAGGAACGCAUUUGCAGUAUUCAAAGUUCUGGAAUACGAGUAAUAGUGCUACGAAAUCAUCUAACUCAGAGCAACUCAGGAUUUCCUCAAGAUUGGGGAUGCUCCUGCUUUAUACUCCGGCGGCUCUCGCCGGCGCUAUGUCGUUCUGGUUCUUUCCGAACGAUGAUUGGAGGAUUCUUCUGCUUAAGUCCGCUCUCACUCUUCAUUUCUUCAAGCGGGACUUUGAGGUACUGUUUGUUCACAAAUACAGCGGCAAAAUGGUACUUGAUUCAGCCAUUUUAAUCUCCCUCAGCUACUUCUCCUCUACAGCACUCAUGAUAUACACUCAACAACUAUCAAAAGCACUUCCAGAGCCAUCCAUUGAUCUGAAAAACAUUGGAAUUGGUUUGUUUUUGGUAGGCAUUACUGGGAAUAUGUACCACCAUUAUCUGUUGUCUCAAACAAGAAAAAAAGGAGAAACAGGCUACAAAAUUCCCAAAGGAGGUCUCUUCAACAUUGUCAUUUGCCCUCACUAUCUUUGUGAAAUAACUGUGUAUUUUGGGUUUGCUCUCAUCUCUCAGACACUUUAUUCAUUGUGCUUCGCCAUUGCCACAGCCAUCUAUUUGGGUGGGAGGAGUUACGCCACUAGGAAAUGGUACGUCUCUAAAUUUGACGACUUCCCUCCGCAUAUCAAAGCCCUUAUUCCCUUUCUAUUUUAGCCUACCUUAAAUUAUAAUAAAACUAUAUCCUUGUCCUUUUUAAAAGUUGAAUAAUAUUACCCUUCAUAUUU
This 925-nucleotide unclassified non-coding RNA is filed under the name Hevea brasiliensis (rubber tree). Lineage: Eukaryota; Viridiplantae; Streptophyta; Magnoliopsida; Malpighiales; Euphorbiaceae. The record is from RNAcentral.